Molecule: ribosomal RNA, 253 nt
Filed under: uncultured bacterium
Lineage: Bacteria
Description: partial 16S ribosomal RNA
Rfam family: Bacterial small subunit ribosomal RNA
Source: RNAcentral
UACGUAGGUGGCAAGCGUUGUCCGGAUUCACUGGGUGUAAAGGGAGCGUAGACGGCCAUGCAAGCCAGGGGUGAAAGCCCGGGGCCCAACCCCGGGACUGCCCUUGGAACUGCAUGGCUGGAGUGCGGGAGGGGCAGGCGGAAUUCCUGGUGUAGCGGUGAAAUGCGUAGAUAUCAGGAGGAACACCGGCGGCGAAGGCGGCCUGCUGGACCGCGACUGACGUUGAGGCUCGAAAGCGUGGGGAGCGAACAGG